Molecule: long non-coding RNA, 503 nt
Organism: Amphimedon queenslandica
Lineage: Eukaryota; Metazoa; Porifera; Demospongiae; Haplosclerida; Niphatidae
Exons: 2
Source: RefSeq, a predicted model, not a curated record
UUGCGUCAUGUGAGGAGUCUGGCCGUGAGGUUUCUCAAGCCCCCAGAGCCUAUUCUGUGGGAUCCAUUGGCUGUCAAAGUCAAAUUCACUCUCUAUGAUCUACGCCAUCCCAACACAGUUUAAUUUGGUGAGACAGUCUGAUCAUCAAGGACUGAUCUAUCUCUCUUCAGAUUAUGGAUCAAGUAUUGGAGGAAACAAUGACCAUAUUCUGCUAUCAGUAGGGAUACAUCUGCGGGCGGGGCUAACUCGUUACACAAUGAUUCUGGUCUGUCUCAUUCUGUUAGUUACUUAUACUGACUCAAAACACACCAGUAUGAAGGACUGGGGUAUUAUUAUUAGUAGUAGUAGUAUUAUAUUAUUAUUGUCAAUCAUUUCUAAUUAUGCAUGUACGAUUACAAUUAAAGUAAUAUUGAAUUGAUUAAUUGUCACUUUUUGUGGGCGGGACUAGCAGAAGUAAACCAUAUAAUAAUUGAUUAGAAUAAGAUUAUGAAAUAAUGUAUAUC